Hippocampus zosterae (dwarf seahorse) is the source of this 784-nucleotide long non-coding RNA. RefSeq lists it as uncharacterized. The transcript is spliced from 2 exons. The record is from RefSeq and is a predicted model, not a curated record. NCBI's taxonomy places the organism in Eukaryota, Metazoa, Chordata, Actinopteri, Syngnathiformes, Syngnathidae.
GGGAAAUACAAAAAUGAAUAAAGGCAGGGGAGGAGCAACGUGAGAGGAGGGAUUGACAGUAGUACCUGUCCUUAAAAGGUGGAACAACAACCCGAAGAGAAGUGAAAGCUUUGAGGCCUCAAACUCCUCUAAUCUCACUCACACACUCCCAUGAACAUAACGCACAGCUCAAGGAGUUUACUCGCGCCCAACGCAAUGACGUGCAGAUCAUUUCAUAGUCCUGAAGGGACUUGCAAUUGCAUCCCAUGUGACCACCCUUGCAUUCCUCAGAUUGCUGUCAUGUGACAAACCUAAAGAUCUCCUUUUAUGGAUGUCUGAUUUAACAAAAGGGCGCGGCCUCGCUCAUGGUCAACACAUUCAUAGACAACAAAGUGCAAAGUUGCAGAGACACACAGGGCAAGGUUUCGCACAUCUCUGCUAAUCCAAACAUAAAUAAACAACGACAAAGGGAUGGGAGUGAUGACAUCACAUUGUCCUCCUCUCCAGUCACAUGGCCGGUGGGAGGCAUGAGGCCUGCGAGCAAAAGGACCGGCUUGAUCUUUGCUCCGUUUAUUUCAUUGGGAUGGUGAUUAUCACAGAAAGAAUCUCAAAUUAAGCACAAGUCAAGAUUGAAAAGCACAAAACAGCAUGAAUAGGAUCACGUGCUGCAUAGUUAUAUAAACAUUAGUCACAUCUGGCCUUGUUACAAGAGGCAGCCCUGCAACUUUGAUGGUCAAAUGGACGCAGACCCCUUGUACUGUGUACUUUCUACAAUAAAAGCUUUGCAACUUGUUUUACUCUCUGA